RNAcentral lists this small RNA (127 nucleotides) under Marmota monax (woodchuck). Lineage: Eukaryota; Metazoa; Chordata; Mammalia; Rodentia; Sciuridae. The record is from RNAcentral.
GCCAGGCAUGGUGGCGCAUGCCUGUAAUCCCAGCAGCUCAGGAGGCUGAGGAAGGAGUAUUACAGAUUUGAAGCCAGCCUUGGCAAUUUAGUGAGACCAUAAGCAACCUAGUGAGACCUAGUCUCAA